Prinia subflava (tawny-flanked prinia) is the source of this 5252-nucleotide RNA transcript. It is a transcript of the gene named TSC22 domain family member 1, with no coding region annotated. The transcript is spliced from 4 exons. Lineage: Eukaryota; Metazoa; Chordata; Aves; Passeriformes; Cisticolidae. The record is from RefSeq and is a predicted model, not a curated record.
CUGACUCAGCCGCAGACAUUAGUGCUAGGAAGAUGGCGCACCCGGCGAUGUUUCCUAGAAGGGGCAGCAGCAGUAGCAGCGGCAGCAGCUGCGUUACUGCUCCCACUGCACCAGGUACCGGCGUUGGGAGCGCUGCCCUCUCUGCCGAGGAUUAUCAGCCGCCUUUGCUGGUCCAGCCGCCGCCUCCAUCUCCUGCAGCAGCUUCAACAGCCGGUCCGCAGCCGACACCUCCUCAUCCACAAAGCCUGAAUCUCCUCUCGCAGUCUCAGCUCCAGCCACAGCCCCUUGCACAGACUGGAGCUCAAAUGAAAAAGAAAAGUGGCUUUCAAAUUACCAGUGUGACCCCUGCUCAAAUAUCAGCUAGUAUGAGCUCUAAUAACAGCAUAGCUGAGGAUACAGAAAGCUACGAUGACCUGGAUGAAUCUCACACUGAAGACCUGUCAUCUUCAGAAAUCCUGGAUGUGUCUUUAUCCAGAGCCACUGACUUGGGAGAACCUGAGAGGAGUUCUUCUGAAGAGACUCUAAAUAACUUCCAAGAGGCAGAGACUCCUGGGGCUGUUUCUCCAAACCAGCCUCAUCUUCCUCAGCAGCAUGCUCCUCUGCCUCAUCACCCACAGCAGAGUGUUGUGAUCAAUGGAAGUGUUCAUCCCCAUCAUGUUCAUCACCACCACCAUCUUCACCACCACCAUCAUGGACACCAUCAUCCAUCGCAUCCUGGGGUGGGUAGCGCCCCAGUUUCUGGAGGACCACCGCCCAGUCCAUCGUUUAGAAAACUAUCAACAACUGGAAGCUCUGACAAUGUUAUAUCAAUUGCACCAGUUUCUGCUGCAUCAUCCACUGGUUCCCCGGCAUCUGCCGUGUCUAAUAUCCGCACUACAAGUACUCCUGGCAAUUUAGGUAUAAGUCCUGCUGCUGGAACUAGUACCUUAAGUAAUAUUGGUGGUGGUAGUUCUAGUGUGGCAAGCAAUGUGCUUGGUACUAUAAAUUUAAGCAACAUCAUCAGUACUGGUAAUGUAAAUGCUUUGUCUGGAACUAGCAGCAAUGCUAAUGUGAAUAUCUUGAGUGGUGUUGGCAAUGGUACGAGUGCUUCCUCUAGUGUCAUUAACAAUGUUACUAAUCCAACUGCAGGAAUGGCAGUGGGAUCAAGCCAGCAGCAGCCUGCAUCUGGCACAUCAAGGUUUAGGGUUGUAAAAUUAGAUUCUAGUUCUGAACCUUUCAAAAAAGGUAGAUGGACAUGCACUGAAUUCUAUGAUAAAGACAACACUGUUGCAGUUUCGGAGGGAGUAGCAGUAAACAAAGCAGUAGAGACGAUAAAACAAAACCCGCUUGAAGUGACUUCUGAAAGGGAGAGCACCAGUGGGAGUUCUGUUAGCAGCAAUGUAAGCACACUGAGUCACUAUACAGAAAGUGUGGGAAGUGGAGAAAUGGGAGCACCUACUGUGGUACAGCAGCAAGCAUUUCAAGGUGUGGGUCCGCAGCAGAUGGAUUUUAGCAGUGCUGCUCCUCCAGCAAUUCCAGCAUCUAGUAUACCACAGAGUGUUUCUCAAUCACAGCUUGCACAAGUCCAGCUGCAUUCUCAAGAAGUAAACUAUCCACAGCAGAAGCCAGGGGUCCAACCUCCUGCACAGGCCAGUCUGACCACUGUUACUGGGGUCCAGCCAGCCCCAGUUAAUAUACUAGGUGUAUCCCCAUCUCUGGGCCACCAGCAGCCUGCCCUUCAGAGUAUGGCUCAACAGCAGCUGCCAUAUUCGCAGCCGGCUCAGCCUGUGCAGACUUUGCCAGUGGUGCAGCAGCAGCAGUUGCAGUACGGACAGCAGCAGCAGCAGCAGCCAGUUCCUACGCAGAUGGCCGCGGGUCACGUUAAGCCGGUGAACCAAAACUCUGUCGCAGGGGCCAUGCCAGACUACAUUCAACAUCAGCAGCUCCUUCAGACUCCAGCCCCUGCCAUGCAGCCAAGUUCUACAGGAGUAGGAACUGGGCAACCAGUUCCUGUUGCCCAGGCGCAGGGCAUGCAGCCUUCAGUGCAAGCACAUCCAGCUGCUGCCCCAGCUCAGCCUGUUGCACACGCCCCAGCAGCAAUACCAGGUGUAGCUGCCAGUGGUCAGAUACUAAAUGUUGGGCAGCAGGGAAGCGUAGCUGCUGUGGUGCAACCACCAUCUGCUACAAACCAAAUUCCACCUCCAGUUAUGCCAUCAACGGCCGCUCCUCCAUCUUCCCAAGUAGUGCAGCCUGUGCAGACAGGAAUAAUGCAGCAGGGAUUACAGGCUAGUGCUUCAGGCCUUCCUCAGCAAAUGGUCAUUGCUCAGCAAAACACCUUGUUACCUGUACAGCCGCAGGCACAAGGAGUGGAAUCUGUAGUCCAAGGAAUGACUGGCCAGCAGCUGCCUGCGGUAAGCCCCAUACCCUCUGCUAGUACUGUUCCUGCACCAAGUCAAGCUGGUUCAGCUGUGCCUCCUGGCAUACCUUCUGCUUCUGUAGGUUUGGGACAGCCACAGAGUAUAGCCCAGGCGUCGGCCGUGCAGAAUGGCAAUUUGGCUCCAAGUGUUAGUCAGCCUCCCUUGAUAUCAACAAGUAUAGGUAUGCCAGUGGCACAGAGUGUGCCACAGCAGAUGCCACUAAGCUCUACCCAGUUCCCCGCACAAUCACUAGCUCAGUCCAUUGCAAGCCAAAUCGAAGACGGCAGACGCCCUACGGAACCUUCCUUGGUGGGUUUACCUCAGGCUGCCAGCGUCGAGAGCGGUGGUGGAGCAUCGGCCGCUUCAGAUGGCGGUAGCAGCAACAUGCCUUCCUCGGCGUCCCUCUUCCCAUUGAAGGUGCUGCCAUUGACAACACCUCUUGUAGAUGGUGAGGAUGAGAGAUACAGAAUGACAGUCAAACACUACACACUGGUAUGCCUGUGAAGAGGCACUGCCAAAGUUAAUUGUGUCUAGUGCAAAAGCUUGGAGUUCUGGCUGAUCAAAGCAGCUACCCACAAAAGUAAAGAACCAGUGUGAGAGUUUGAAGAAAGAAUCUGCUCAGAGGACUGAGUCUCAAGCAAAAGCUCCAGGUUGCAGACUCAGAAAGAAACUUCCUUUGGGGAAGGAUCUGCUUCCAGGAUUUGCUCGUCUCUUUUUCCUUGGGCAAACAGUUCUUGAAGCAAACAACAGGGUUGCAGGACACCUUCUAACCUUUAUACUGCAUCACAAGCCUUCAGCAGAAGAUCUUAUGUUGCUGGAAGAUGACUGGGUUUGGAUCUUGGCCUUCCCUAAGCAGGAUCUCCUGGCAAAAAAUGGGAUUGGGAAAGAAAUGACUCCUUUUUCCAUCACACAGAACCACCCUAGAAAUGGAGGCCUAGGCAGAAAAUUACUUCUAGUGCAUCGUUCUUUAGGAAAUGUGUUUGGCUACUCCUGGUCCUUUUGUUAUAAUGUCAUAUAGAUAUCCUUUAUAAAAUCUAAACCUGGCAUCUUCCUAUCUGAAGGUCAAGUCAAUAAAUCCAAGAUUAAGGGUUUACAGGUCUAAUAUUAUGGUCGGGUCUUGCUGUCCCUUGCAUAGAAGAUGCCACAUGAAUCUGUGAAUAGGGUUCUACUGUAGUUCAGUCUGUUGUAUUUGUAACAUACAUUUCUACUUAUAAAUUAUUAGAAAUAAUAUUAAUAAAAGUUCUUGUGAAAAUUUAGACUUCUACCUUGCCAGGUUUACUUAAAAAUAAAUUUGAGUCAAAAUGUCAUAAUGGGCAACAUGAGAAGUACUGCAUCUUCUGAGGUUUCCGGUGGCUCUCUGUCACAAAAAAGUGUGUUGGAACUGUUAAGAACUGUAAAAGUGGAAAUCUUAGAUUUUCUUUAAGAGUGAGAAGUUGUUUGUUAGAAAGCAGAAAGCUUUUAAUUGUUCUCCCCCUAAGGGAUUCUGUAGUCAAACUUAAUUAAGUGUCUUGCAAGAUCUCAAAUAAAAACCUUGUUUGGUAGUAGUGAACAACACACACAUGCCUGUGUACUUGUGUUGUUCUCACUAUAGGAAAUUAGUUUUGAAGAAUGGGACUUACUUCUAAUGUUCAGAUUAGGGAAGGGGAGAGUUUUGUUCUGAAGCUGAGUGUGAGAAUAGGAGGCAGGAGGGUAUACCAGACCCUCUGGCAGUAGGUGAAGAGCACUUUUGGUUUUCUGUUUUCUGCUUCUGGCAGUUGAAGUAAACUAGCCAGAUGCUUGUACUUGAAUCCAAUUAAUUUCUUAAAUCAGUUACCACAAAACAUUGUUUUUUAACUAAUGCCUAGAUCUUUUGUUAAAUUCACCAGCUUAUUUAAAUUAUUCAACAGUCCUAACAUAGCCCUGAGGCUACUGCUUCAUGGCAGUUGGGACUUCUUACUAUUCUGGAAUGCACUGCAGUCCUAGUACAUUCUAAAAAUAAUUGUUCAGAUGGUGCUGUUCAAGUACAUACUUACGUAGUGGGCCAUUUUCACUGGACUUUCUGAAAUUGGCUUUCUAUUGGGUGGCUUUUUAAUAUCUUGUUUUGCUGUGAUUAUCAAACUUGUUUGUCUUGCUGCUUCUGUGGUUAUUGAGUAAAGUGCUGAAUUUAUAACCUGGUAUUUUUAGAGAACUGAUAGUCACAUGCCUGUGUUAAACUAUGCAAGCACAGUAACACUUGUUAACUUUGAAGUGUUAAACGAAAUCAGUUUAAUGUAUCAAAAUCAAUCCUAUUAUAAUAUGUGGAAAUAUGUACGUGAUGAACUUAAAAUUGACUAGUCCUUACAGGUACAGACAUGAAUUAUGUACUGAACAGAAGUAAUCUAGACAUUAAUAGCUAAAGAUCUGUGGGUCUCAGAAAUGAAUUCUGACAUCUAUGACUAGAGUUUUGUGCCAGCAGUGCUUUUAUUUGAAAAUAAUAACCUGUUUUUCAAAUUUUGAGUCCAUUUAAGGUCUAAAAUCCCUUGUGCCUUAAUAGGUAUACUUACACUUGCCUCAGCCACAGUUUUUGGUCAUUUUGUUCUGUAGUAGGUAAAUUUAGGACUGUCAAAUACUUACAAAACAGGCACUGAGAACUGUUUGUUACUAUCUCAGUUCCUAAAAUGGCUUUACUCCUCCCCAUCACAAUUAGGAAACAAAACCAGCAAAACAAAAGCAAAAACCAAACUAAAAAGCCUGUUGAAUUCUACAGUCACUAUUUUGAUACUUGUCUAUCACUGUUGCGUUAGUGUGUUUCUGUCAUGCUGAGUUUUACAGCUGGAAUCCUGGGUUCUUGAUACAUCCUUAGAACAAUACUCCUGCCUUUGUGUUAUUAAAUAAUAA